AAGUCCUUCGGGAUGUAAAGUUCUGUCAGGCGGGAAGAAUCUUUCCCCGAUGCAAAUCGGGGGAAAAUGACGGUACCGCCAGAGGAAGCACCGGCUAAUUCCGUGCCAGCAGCCGCGGUAACACGGAGGGUGCAAGCGUUGUUCGGAAUUACUAGGCGUAAAGAGCGUGUAGGUGGUUAGCUAAGUCGGAUGUGAAAAUCCCAAGCUUAACUUGGAACGUGCAUUCGAAACUGGUUAACUUGAGUGUAGGAGAGGAGAGCGGAAUUCCUAGUGUAGCGGUGAAAUGCGUAGAUAUUAGGAAGAACACCGGUGGCGAAGGCGGCUCUCUGGCCUAAAACUGACACUGAGACGCGAAAGCGUGGGUAGCGAACAGGAUUAGAUACCCUGGUAGUCCACGCCGUAAACGAUGGGCAUUAGGUGUAGGAGGUAUCCAAUCCUUCUGUGCCGAAGUUAACGCAUUAAAUGCCCCGCCUGGGGAGUACGACCGCAAGGUUGAAACUCAAAGGAAUUGACGGGGGCCCGCACAAGCGGUGGAGCAUGUGGUUUAAUUCGAUGCAACGCGAAGAACCUUACCUGGGCUUGACAUGUACUCGAAUGUGCCAGAAACGGUACAGUCCGAAAGGACGGGUACACAGGUGCUGCAUGGCUGUCGUCAGCUCGUGUCGUGAGAUGUUGGGUUAAGUCCCGCAACGAGCGCAACCCUCAUUCUUAGUUACCAUCGGGUAAUGCCGGGGACUCUAGGAAAAAUGCCUCGGAUAACGAGGAGGAAGGUGAGGACGACGUCAAGUCCGCAUGGCCUUUAUGCCCAGGGCUACACACGUGCUACAAUGGCCUGUACAAAGAGUGGCAAACCCAAGAGGGGGAGCUAAUCUCAAAAACCAGGCCUCAGUUCGGAUUGAAGGCUGCAACUCGCCUUCAUGAAGUUGGAAUCGCUAGUAAUCGUGAAUCAGCACGUCACGGUGAAUACGUUCCCGGGCCUUGUACACACCGCCCGUCACACCACGAAAGUCAGUUGUACUAGAAGUUGCUGAGUUAACCCCGAUCUUUGAUUGGGGAGACAGGCGCCCAAGGUAUGAUUGGCGAUUGGGGUGAAGUCGUAACAAGGUAGCCGUACCGGAAGGUGCGGCUGGAUCACCUCCUUUCUAA
RNAcentral lists this ribosomal RNA (1146 nucleotides) under Clostridia bacterium. Its description in RNAcentral is "bacterial SSU rRNA". It matches the Rfam family "Bacterial small subunit ribosomal RNA", at positions 411 to 1533 of the family's 1533-position model. Lineage: Bacteria; Bacillati; Bacillota; Clostridia. The record is from RNAcentral.